This is a long non-coding RNA of Grus americana (Whooping crane), 1659 nucleotides long. RefSeq lists it as uncharacterized. The transcript has 3 exons. Lineage: Eukaryota; Metazoa; Chordata; Aves; Gruiformes; Gruidae. The record is from RefSeq and is a predicted model, not a curated record.
GUUUGCUGCUCCUUAAUUUCAGAAGAGGCAACAAGCAACUGUUCGCUGUUCACCUGGGAAUUUAUAUACUUCUCUUCUUCCAUUUCAGCCUGCUGCUUUUAGAAUGUGUCCCAGAGGUUAACAACCUGCUCCUGCCACCAGCUGCCAGACACCCCCCUCCCAGGAUCUGGCCCUCUGGAAGAAGAUCCAAGCUUCAUUUACAGCAGCAAGUGGUCCCUCCUGCUUCAUUUCUCCUCUACUUGCAGGUGCCUGGCUCUUGAGGGGGAUUCAUCAACAUGAUCUGCAAGAAGGUGAGGCAGCUCCUCAGAGCUGGAGUUUAACCCCUGCUCUGUCUCCAUCCUGGUACACAGCUCCACAGCAGCCCUCCUGCUGCUAACCUGGGCCGUGAAGGAGCCGAUGAAGAGAAAGUUUACCCAAGCUAACCACUGUGUAAAGACUCGGGAAAAGGUUGUCCAGCAGCUCAGGCAAGAGUCACCUCUGCCUGUAGAAGGUGCUUGUUCUCCUCACUGAUUGUGCUCCAGAGCUCUUGCCACUGGGAGGGCUGGUUGCUCCAUAAUCUGCUUCAAGCUGGAGUAUCUGAGUUACCCACAGGGGAGGAGGAGCUGACCUGGAAGAGGACUGUGACCUGUACAUGCAGCUUGCACUUGCACAAGCUCUCUUUGCUCGUUGUGCACCUGGCAGCUAUUGCGUGGUAGCUUGAUGGAGGGUAAGGAAAAGUUGAAGAGAUCACAGCAGUGGGGUUCCCAGGAUGACGAGGACCCUUGGGGAGAUCCCUAAGAUUGCUGAAGACACCUUAAGCAAAUACUGCACCUGGCAAGCACUGGGAUCAGGCUCUGAAAACCUCCUCUCUAUACAAAUGGGGGUGUGGAGACUCAUUUCUAGUAGUGCCUGUGUUAGAGCAAUCUAAGUCCAUACAGCUUUGCAUUUCAUGUGAACAUUAAAAAAUAAGGAGAGGGGGGAAAAAAAGAGAGAGAGAAAGAAAAUUUAAGUGGCUAAAAUUACUCCUGUAGUUGUUUUACACAGCUGAAUGAAGAUAAUUGUAUUGGCAAUUGUGAGUGAUUACAGUAUUAUCUGCCAUCAAAAAAGUUAUUUUUUUGAACACUAAAGGAAUUAAUGAUACAUAAAACUGUGCUUAGAUUGAGUGCAUUCAUCAGCAGAAAUGCCUGGUGCUGGCACUGCUACACUGUAAUUACUCCAGCCGCUCAGAGAAAGAGAGCAGGAGAUAGGGGGCUAUUGUGGAUGCUGCCAAAGAUUUACAUACAUUUACACGCUGAGCAGCUCUGGUGCUCCGGGAGGGAGGAGCAGAACCAGGGCAGCAAAGCUGAUGGGUGGGGGGGCAAGUUUGGCCCCUGCUUUUUUUUUAGUGUGCAUUACAGAGCAAAGAAUAGGGGAUCAUCUCUGCGUUUAAAACUUUACAGGGUGAAGCUGGCAUGGAGAAGAUGGUUAAAUGCUCCUCAGAAUAGCAAGGGAUGAGCCCAGGCUUUAUAGGAUGCUGCCUCAUGGUGUCUGAAUUGAUAAAACCAUUCCUGGGGUCACAGACAGUGAGUGCCCAGCCCUGGGAGACUGAUGGUGGUGGUGAGAAUGGCAGAGGUGGUGUCCUCAAGGGACAUCUGCUGUGCCCUGUGCUUCAAGUGAGCCCAUCAUGCUGCUGCAUUGGUA